AUUGAACGCUGGCGGCAGGCUUAACACAUGCAAGUCGAGCGGGGUGAUGGUGCUUGCACUAUCACUUAGCGGCGGACGGGUGAGUAAUGCUUAGGAAUCUGCCUAUUAGUAGGGGACAACAUCUAGAAAGGGAUGCUAAUACCGCAUACGUCCUACGGGAGAAAGCAGGGGAUCACUUGUGACCUUGCGCUAAUAGAUGAGCCUAAGUCGGAUUAGCUAGUUGGUGGGGUAAAGGCCUACCAAGGCGACGAUCUGUAGCGGGUCUGAGAGGAUGAUCCGCCACACUGGGACUGAGACACGGCCCAGACUCCUACGGGAGGCAGCAGUGGGGAAUAUUGGACAAUGGGGGGAACCCUGAUCCAGCCAUGCCGCGUGUGUGAAGAAGGCCUUAUGGUUGUAAAGCACUUUAAGCGAGGAGGAGGCUCUUUUGGUUAAUACCCAAGAUGAGUGGACGUUACUCGCAGAAUAAGCACCGGCUAACUCUGUGCCAGCCGCCGCAGUAA
RNAcentral lists this ribosomal RNA (503 nucleotides) under uncultured bacterium. RNAcentral describes it as "partial 16S ribosomal RNA". It matches the Rfam family "Bacterial small subunit ribosomal RNA", at positions 30 to 523 of the family's 1533-position model. The record is from RNAcentral.